Molecule: ribosomal RNA, 420 nt
Filed under: uncultured bacterium
Lineage: Bacteria
Description: partial 16S ribosomal RNA
Rfam family: Bacterial small subunit ribosomal RNA
Source: RNAcentral
AAUAUUGGACAAGGGGCGAAAGCCUGUUCCAGCCAUGCCGCGCGUGUGAAGAAGGUCUUCGGAUUGUAAAGCACUUUAAGUUGGGAGGAAGGGCAGUCAGUUAAUACCUUGCUGCGUUGACGUUACCGCCAGAGUAAGCACCGGCGAACUUCGGGCCCGCAGCCGCGGUAAUACGACGGGUGCAAGCGUUAAUCGGGAGUACUGGGCCUAAAGCGCGCGUAGGAGGUUUGUUAAGUUGGAAGUGAAAGCCCCGGGCUCAACCGGGGAACUGCUUUAAAAACUGGCAGGCUAGGGUAUGGCAGAGGGUGGUGGAAUUUCCUGGGUAGCGGUGAAAUGCGUAGAUAUAGGAAGGAACACCAGUGGCGAAGGCGACCACCUGAGCUAAUACUGACACUGAGGUGCGAAAGCGUGGGAAGCAAA